AUACGGAGGGUGCGAGCGUUGUUCGGAAUCACUGGGCGUAAAGGGCGCGCAGGCGGUUUGGUAAGUCAGAUGUGAAAGCCCACGGCUCAACCGUGGAAGUGCAUUUGAAACUGCCAGACUUGAGUACCAGAGGGGAAAGUGGAAUUCCCGGUGUAGAGGUGAAAUUCGUAGAUAUCGGGGGGAAUACCGGUGGCGAAGGCGACUUUCUGGCUGGAUACUGACGCUGAGGCGCGAAAGCGUGGGGAGCAAACAGGAUUAGAAACCCUAGUAGUCC
This 274-nucleotide ribosomal RNA is filed under the name uncultured bacterium. RNAcentral's name for it is "partial 16S ribosomal RNA". It matches the Rfam family "Bacterial small subunit ribosomal RNA", at positions 523 to 796 of the family's 1533-position model. The record is from RNAcentral.